CAGUUCUCACAGUGCUGAUGCUGUCCAUUGUAAAGGUACAGUACUGUGAUAACUGAA
RNAcentral lists this microRNA precursor (57 nucleotides) under Callorhinchus milii (elephant shark). Its description in RNAcentral is "Cmi-Mir-101-P1-v2_pre stem-loop". It matches the Rfam family "mir-101 microRNA precursor family", at positions 11 to 67 of the family's 75-position model. Rfam says of the family: The hairpin precursors (represented here) are predicted based on base pairing and cross-species conservation -- their extents are not known. In this case the mature sequence is excised from the 3' arm of the hairpin. The record is from RNAcentral. Lineage: Eukaryota; Metazoa; Chordata; Chondrichthyes; Chimaeriformes; Callorhinchidae.